Molecule: long non-coding RNA, 810 nt
Filed under: Erythranthe guttata (spotted monkey flower)
Lineage: Eukaryota; Viridiplantae; Streptophyta; Magnoliopsida; Lamiales; Phrymaceae
Description: long non-coding RNA (EGUT_LNC003694)
Source: RNAcentral
AUAACAAUAGUCAAAGCAAGCCCGAUCAACACAUUUGAUGCCAACCUCUCUACCGUAAAUGAAACAAAUUAUUACCAAGACUUUUUAGUUUGCUAGUUUAUGUUUGCCCAAGUCCUCAAAUCCUAGGAUAUUUCUGAAGAAAAAUAUCUUCUCUUUUGUCAGUCAUCAUAAAGUAGCAAAAUCAGGGAAUCUUACUUGUAUAACAUCACAUCUUCUUCUUUGAUGUAUAAAAGGAACUUCAAUAAAAAUUUAAAUAAAAAAAAGUCACUCACUGUACUUUAUCUUCCACCAAACUGCUAAUAUAGUAUUCAUCUAGAAAUCACAUGUUAUUUAAUCCUGAGAAAACUACGUAUCAACAACCAGUUCUGGUUACUGAAUCAACUCGUCUUCUAUCUGCAAUCUAACUUGACAUAACCUGCCAUUUCUUUUAUUACAAAAGACAAAAACAAUAUAUAAAAUUACAUACCUAAGUAGAUUGCUAGAGGUAUUUAUAGUUUAAGCAAAACUCUUCCUCAUAUAUGUGCUAAAAGAUAUCAGUAUUUAGUUACUACAAAACAAACACAGCCGGUAAUAUUUACAUUGGUCUGGAAAAUUAUUAGAAGAUUGAGAGGCAAAAGACUAUUAAAAGAUGGAGGCAAAAAAAAUUGACGGUGAAGGACAACAACAAAUUCGAAUGCGCUUAGAAUAAUGAACAGAUAUGAAACUUAAGGAAAUUUAAAAAAUAAAAUCAUACAAAUACUAAAUUCAAUUUUAAGAAUAAAACCAAUUUAGAGUAUAUACCAACAAAAACGAGAGACAUAGAGAUCUUAC